UUUUUGUCGUCGUACGGACAAAAUUAAUGUUAAAAAUGCAUGCAUUUGUGAAGUGCACUUCGCGCCAGAAGCCUUCGAAAGAAACUUGAAGUUUGAAAUGGGCAAUUAUAGCAUUUUGAUUACAAUAAUUUUACUUUUAGAACCAAACACUCUUGCAGGUUUAAGUUCGCGGAAUCCAACUAAGUUGUUACCUAGCGCUAUUCCCACGUUAACCACUGCUCCUGCAGAGGCUAAUGAACCGCAGGAAAGGAUGGAAUCUCGUUCUAAAAGGGAUGUUAACAACAAUGUUGAAGAAUACCGCCCCUGUUGGCACCUCAAACUGCAGGAGAGGAGGUCAUCGAUGAGAAAGACGAGAAAAUACUGCAUUUGGAAACAGAAAUACAAAGACUGAAUAGUGUUGUUAGAACUUUGAAGAGGUGCAAAAACGAGCAGUCAGCAGAUAUUAAACGCCUUAGGAUUUUCAUUAAAGCCUCAGAAUUCCACAGAAAUAAUUUGGAGCAAAAGCUUAGGUGCAUUUUCACCAACGGCCAGAUUGAAAAAUUAGGGAUGGAAAUAAACGGCGGAAUUGGAAAGAAGAAGACAUAGCUAAGUCGAUCACGCUAUGUUCAACGAGCCCGAAAGCGUACAAACUUUUACGGAGAAACAACUUUCCUCUUCCAGGUGUGCGCACUCUGCAAUGGUGGUCAAAGAAAAUUGACGUAGCUCCAGGUGUCAUAGAGCCGGUGAUGAAACUGUUGAAGGCAGCAACUGAGCUAACACAAGCGCAAAAAAUUUGUGUACUCAGUUUUGAUGAAAUGAAGAUCAGAAAGAGUUACUGUUACGAUAGAUCCACUGAUUCGACAUUGCCUCCUCUUAACUUCGUUCAGGUUGCAGUGAUAAAAGGUAAUUAAACUCAUUAAUUUUCUUGAAGUCAAUUUUUUCUAAUGUACUUUGUUCUUUUCGGUUUGAUAAGUAAAUGGAAACAGCCUGUAUUCUUCGAAUAUGACUGCAAAAUGACGAAGGAAGAGCUGUUUAGCAUUUUGUCAAGCGUUAAAAAGUGCGGUUACAAUAUUGUUGCCAUUGUAAGCGAUUUGGGUGGAUCAAAUAGAGGCUUAUAUAAUGAUCUUGAAAUUAAUGUGGAAAAACCUUGGUUUUUACACGAUGGAGACAGGGUUGUGGUUUUUGCUGCUGUCCCCUAUUUAAUAUGGCAAAAUUGUUAGAAAAGACAUUAUUCUGAAGCUGCUCUCGCUUACCUCCAACGACCUGUCCAUCACGCACCAAAUUUCUCAGAAGCAUUUGUCUGUAACAGGAGCAGAAAGGCAAAAGGUUAAACUAGCCACAAAAUUGUUCCCCCACACAAUUGCUCAAGCAAUAACUCGAGCCGCUAGCUUAAGUCUGCUAGAUAACGAAAAUUGGGAGGAAUGCCAUCGACUUUUCAAAAUUACAAAUGACUGGUUUGAUCUAAUGAAUGUCAGGGUGCCCAAAGAUGAAGAGAGGGAACGCUUACACGCCUACGGUUUGGCUUUGAACGAGCAAAAUAAUGUACUGGAACAGAUAACGGGGAUGGUUUCAUCAAUGGGAGUCAUUGGUAAAAAUGGGUUGCUUCCAUUCCAAAAAGGUAUACAUACUUCAAAGCAAUAAUGCUUUGAAAUUGCUGCUGGAUGACUUAAGACAGCGGUACAAAAUUGAUUACGUUUUGACCUACCGAUUAAACCAGGACGUUUUGGAAAAUUUUUUUUGGCAUAGUCAGGUCAAAAGGUGGUCUUCACAAUCACCCUGACAGGCAGGAGUUCAAAUAUAGGCUGCGUUCCUAUAUACUUGGUCACAACGAAGAAGCGUUCACAGAAGAAGAAAAUGUUGAAGUCGACAACACAUCAGAUUUGGAAGGGAAUUACUUAUCUCUAACCGGUAAUAUUUUCCAACGUGUGUCAGUUGAUCUGAAUUCCACUGACCCAAUUGAAAAAAAUGAUGACUUGGAGAUACUGAACAACGACGGACUUGAGAAUUUGGCAGGGUACAUCUGCCACAAACUCGGUAAAGACAACCCCCAAAUUUGUGCCAAUUCAGAAAAUUGUUCGUCUUAUACUUGGGUGGAUCACUUUUCUGAAGAAGGACUCUCAAAACCAACAGAUAUGAUGAUGGAGCAUAUGAGAGCCUUGCAAGCAGUAUUUGACGAUGUAAAUGGUACUGAUUUGCAUAUAUGUAUGUACAAAUUACGUCCAGAAACACUUAGUAACUUUAUAAAUUAUAGCUCGAAAGUAAAAGAAUUGUUUUUCAGAGCAAAAAUGUAUUUUAGGAUUCGUUCCUUAAACAAAAACUUAAUCGAACAUAUGUAUAGCAAAACAAGAAAAUUAAAUAACACAAUAAAUUGAUAC
Bactrocera neohumeralis is the source of this 2354-nucleotide long non-coding RNA. RefSeq lists it as uncharacterized. The record is from RefSeq and is a predicted model, not a curated record. NCBI's taxonomy places the organism in Eukaryota, Metazoa, Arthropoda, Insecta, Diptera, Tephritidae. The transcript has 7 exons.